RNAcentral lists this ribosomal RNA (253 nucleotides) under uncultured bacterium. RNAcentral's name for it is "partial 16S ribosomal RNA". It matches the Rfam family "Bacterial small subunit ribosomal RNA", at positions 524 to 776 of the family's 1533-position model. The record is from RNAcentral.
UACGAAGGGGGCUAGCGUUGUUCGGAAUUACUGGGCGUAAAGCGCACGUAGGCGGAUCGAUCAGUCAGGGGUGAAAUCCCAGGGCUCAACCCUGGAACUGCCUUUGAUACUGUCGAUCUGGAGUAUGGAAGAGGUGAGUGGAAUUCCGAGUGUAGAGGUGAAAUUCGUAGAUAUUCGCAAGAACACCAGUGGCGAAGGCGGCUCACUGGCCCGGUACUGACGCUGAGGUGCGAAAGCGUGGGGAGCAAACAGG